GACGAACCGUGCGAACGUUAUUCGGAAUCACUGGGCUUAAAGGGCGCGUAGGCGGGCCGCCAGGUCCGGGGUGAAAGCCUCCAGCUCAACUGGAGAAGUGCCUUGGAUACCGGCGGCCUCGAGGGAGGCAGGGGCGUGCGGAACUUCGGGUGGAGCGGUGAAAUGCGUUGAUAUCCGAAGGAACACCGGUGGCGAAAGCGGCGCGCUGGACCUCUUCUGACGCUGAGGCGCGAAAGCCAGGGGAGCAAACGGG
Molecule: ribosomal RNA, 253 nt
Filed under: uncultured bacterium
Lineage: Bacteria
Description: partial 16S ribosomal RNA
Rfam family: Bacterial small subunit ribosomal RNA
Source: RNAcentral